This 69-nucleotide transfer RNA is filed under the name Neotoma lepida (desert woodrat). It matches the Rfam family "tRNA". From Rfam's summary of the family: Transfer RNA (tRNA) molecules are approximately 80 nucleotides in length. Lineage: Eukaryota; Metazoa; Chordata; Mammalia; Rodentia; Cricetidae. The record is from Rfam by way of RNAcentral.
GGGGAUUUAGCUCUGUGGCAGAGUGUUUGCCUAGCAAACAUAAGGCCAUGGGUUUGAUCCCCAUCACCA